CACCCGCCCCGUCACAUCAUGAAAGCCGUUUGUACCCCGAAGUCGUCGUGUUAACCGCAAGGAGACAGAUGCCGAAGGUAUGGAUGGUGAUUGGGAUG
RNAcentral lists this ribosomal RNA (98 nucleotides) under uncultured bacterium. RNAcentral describes it as "partial 16S ribosomal RNA". It matches the Rfam family "Bacterial small subunit ribosomal RNA", at positions 1393 to 1482 of the family's 1533-position model. The record is from RNAcentral.